RNAcentral lists this ribosomal RNA (588 nucleotides) under uncultured Glomus. RNAcentral's name for it is "SSU rRNA". It matches the Rfam family "Eukaryotic small subunit ribosomal RNA", at positions 624 to 1213 of the family's 1831-position model. The record is from RNAcentral. Lineage: Eukaryota; Fungi; Glomeromycota; Glomeromycetes; Glomerales; Glomeraceae.
AAGCUCGUAGUUGAAUUUCCGGAUCAAUGGAUCGGUCAUGCCGUUGGUAUGUACUGGUCACAUUGGUUCUCACCUUCUAAGGAACCAUGAUGUCAUUCAUUUGAUGUUGUGGGGAAUUAGGACUGUUACCUUGAAAAAAUUAGAGUGUUUAAAGCAGGCUAACGCCUGAAUACAUUAGCAUGGAAUAAUGAAAUAGGACAUCGCAUUCUAUUUUGUUGGUUUCUAGGAUCGAUGUAAUGAUUAAUAGGGAUAGUUGGGGGCAUUGGUAUUCAAUUGUCAGAGGUGAAAUUCUUGGAUUUAUUGAAGACUAACUACUGCGAAAGCAUUUGCCAAGGAUGUUUUCAUUAAUCAAGAACGAAAGUUAGGGGAUCGAAGACGAUCAGAUACCGUCGUAGCCUUAACCAUAAACUAUGCCGACUAGGGAUCGGAUGAUGUUGAUUUUUUAAUGACUCAUUCGGCACCUUACGGGAAACCAAAGUGUUUGGGUUCCGGGGGGAGUAUGGUCGCAAGGCUGAAACUUAAAGGAAUUGACGGAAGGGCACCACCAGGGGUGGAGCCUGCGGCUUAAUUUGACUCAACACGGGGAAA